CCCUUGACUCCCUCCUUCUCCGCCUUCCGCCUCUCUCUGAUUAGUUCCUAUCCAGCAGCAGAUUGAAGCAGGAGAUGAUUCUUCUCAAGAAUUCGGCUGAAGUCUAUAAACCAUCUAAAUUAAUAUGCCAGGAAUUUGUGGAUGUUUGGAACUCAAAAAGCAGGACGCAAGAUGGUCCCGGGAUAAAACUCUGCUGCCCAAACACAGGCAAGUUAAACUAGCUGUAGUGCUGAUGCACUGAAUUAAAGUUUAGAUAAAACACGUUAAAACAGCAAAUCGUUUUAAAGUUAGAAGUUAAACCUGUGAAAGAUAAUCCCAAUUGUAGUUUCUCCCUCCAAUUUCUGAAGUCAAAAGGAGUGGGGUUAGCUAAUCGCAGGAACUGAACACUUUUUAAAAAAAAUCAAGUUAAGCCCAUUUCUCCAUCUUUAAACUACACAGGAGGUAUGCUUUUUGUUUACUUCCAGAAUCUCCCAACUUUCUGUUAUUUACUCUUACAUUUCUCCCUCACCCCCGAAUCCCAACAUCCUAAAACCAAUAAAGUUAAAAUAAAGGUGAAGUACACCUUACUCCUUCCUGGGUACACCACCCCAUAACUUCCUAAAAAUGAUUUUUAAAAAAUUGUAACUUUGGUUAACGUUUUAUUACACAAGAAUAUAUAUACUUUUUUUUAUUGAGGUAGUGUUUUUUCCUCCAGAACACAUGGAAGUCUCCACGUUUAUAUAAUUAAAAAUUGCAUGAUUUAAUUUUCAGGAUGAAGAGCAAGUGAAAAGCAAGCCACAGAAGAAUAAUUUGACCAUAUAUGUAUAUUUUGUACAUACAUUUGUGAAUAAAUGUAUCUUAAAAGAU
Neogale vison (American mink) is the source of this 846-nucleotide long non-coding RNA. RefSeq lists it as uncharacterized. The transcript is spliced from 2 exons. Lineage: Eukaryota; Metazoa; Chordata; Mammalia; Carnivora; Mustelidae. The record is from RefSeq and is a predicted model, not a curated record.